AAAGUUGAUACUAUACAGCAAACAAUGCAAAAGAAUGAGCAGAAACUAGAAGAGGUGGAACUUAGAAUAGUACAAAAUGAAAAGAAACUGGAACUAAUGGAUCACAGGAUGAUGACAAUAAAUAAAAGAUUAGAAGAACAGAUUAUCCACCUAGAGAUGGACCGCACUGCCUAUUACUUGAGGUUUCAAAAUAUCAUUGAAAGUAGAGAUGAAGAUCUAAAUAUGCUUAUGGCAGAAUUACUUGUGUCAGCUUUACAAAGGGAGAUCCAAGAGAUCCUGCUAGAAAUCAAUGAGGCCUAUAGAGUUCAAACGAGCUAUGCUUGAAGAAACAGGCUAC
Notechis scutatus (mainland tiger snake) is the source of this 337-nucleotide non-coding RNA. NCBI's taxonomy places the organism in Eukaryota, Metazoa, Chordata, Lepidosauria, Squamata, Elapidae. The record is from RefSeq and is a predicted model, not a curated record.